Molecule: long non-coding RNA, 716 nt
Organism: Syngnathoides biaculeatus (alligator pipefish)
Lineage: Eukaryota; Metazoa; Chordata; Actinopteri; Syngnathiformes; Syngnathidae
Exons: 3
Source: RefSeq, a predicted model, not a curated record
CAACAAAGUUAGAUGCACUCUCUUUAUUGGGAGGGUGUUGGUGACUGGAAACUAGGAGGGUCAAAAUGGAGACCAAAAGACCAAGAGUUUAUACCAUGGAUGACCUGAAAGGUUGCAAGAGCAUGGAUGCAUACAAUCAGUUUGUGUGUGGCUGGGUUCGUGAUGUGGGAGCUGUUGUCAGAAAUGGAUACCACCUCGUCAGUGCAAAGCACUGCUGUUUUGGGUUGAAGCCAACAUCAGGAUACAGGACUCAAAGACCGUCACACAAGAGAAAGCAUACUAAGCUGCCAACACCUUUAAAAGAUGUGGAGUAUCGUCCAAUUGGUGAAUUUCACUUGACUUCAGCAAAGACAAAAAGACACCAACUGCAUACUGCCCUUGAAGCUGGUGCCAAUGUGGAUGUCAGUCACUAUUUUCAGACUCAGAUCAAUCAUUUCCAGGUUCUAGGCAACAAUAGCAUCCUAUGUCUCUCCAAUCCGUAGUCCUCCUCAAAAGUAGUCAAUACAAAAAAAUCCAAGAAAAAAAAAUCGCUACCUACCAACCCUAGUAUUUUUAGUCUAUGUUAUCGGAAACAAUAUUAUUUUUUUUUGGCCUUAUAACAAUGUUUUGACCAUAAAUGUGUUGUAGCCAAUGUUAUGGAAGUGCAAAAACAAACAAACCAAUUGUACUUCAAAAUUUUAUUGUCUCAUUCUCCAUGUAACAUGGCAGGCUAUUCU